This 1420-nucleotide ribosomal RNA is filed under the name uncultured bacterium. Its description in RNAcentral is "bacterial SSU rRNA". It matches the Rfam family "Bacterial small subunit ribosomal RNA". The record is from RNAcentral.
AGAGUUUGAUCCUGGCUCAGAUUGAACGCUGGCGGCAGGCCUAACACAUGCAAGUCGAGCGGUAGCACAGAGAGCUUGCUCUCGGGUGACGAGCGGCGGACGGGUGAGUAAUGUCUGGGAAACUGCCUGAUGGAGGGGGAUAACUACUGGAAACGGUAGCUAAUACCGCAUAAUGUCGCAAGACCAAAGUGGGGGACCUUCGGGCCUCAUGCCAUCAGAUGUGCCCAGAUGGGAUUAGCUAGUAGGUGGGGUAACGGCUCACCUAGGCGACGAUCCCUAGCUGGUCUGAGAGGAUGACCAGCCACACUGGAACUGAGACACGGUCCAGACUCCUACGGGAGGCAGCAGUGGGGAAUAUUGCACAAUGGGCGCAAGCCUGAUGCAGCCAUGCCGCGUGUGUGAAGAAGGCCUUCGGGUUGUAAAGCACUUUCAGCGGGGAGGAAGGCGGUGAGGUUAAUAACCUUGGCGAUUGACGUUACCCGCAGAAGAAGCACCGGCUAACUCCGUGCCAGCAGCCGCGGUAAUACGGAGGGUGCAAGCGUUAAUCGGAAUUACUGGGCGUAAAGCGCACGCAGGCGGUCUGUCAAGUCGGAUGUGAAAUCCCCGGGCUCAACCUGGGAACUGCAUUCGAAACUGGCAGGCUAGAGUCUUGUAGAGGGGGGUAGAAUUCCAGGUGUAGCGGUGAAAUGCGUAGAGAUCUGGAGGAAUACCGGUGGCGAAGGCGGCCCCCUGGACAAAGACUGACGCUCAGGUGCGAAAGCGUGGGGAGCAAACAGGAUUAGAUACCCUGGUAGUCCACGCCGUAAACGAUGUCGAUUUGGAGGUUGUGCCCUUGAGGCGUGGCUUCCGGAGCUAACGCGUUAAAUCGACCGCCUGGGGAGUACGGCCGCAAGGUUAAAACUCAAAUGAAUUGACGGGGGCCCGCACAAGCGGUGGAGCAUGUGGUUUAAUUCGAUGCAACGCGAAGAACCUUACCUGGUCUUGACAUCCACAGAACUUUCCAGAGAUGGAUUGGUGCCUUCGGGAACUGUGAGACAGGUGCUGCAUGGCUGUCGUCAGCUCGUGUUGUGAAAUGUUGGGUUAAGUCCCGCAACGAGCGCAACCCUUAUCCUUUGUUGCCAGCGGUUCGGCCGGGAACUCAAAGGAGACUGCCAGUGAUAAACUGGAGGAAGGUGGGGAUGACGUCAAGUCAUCAUGGCCCUUACGACCAGGGCUACACACGUGCUACAAUGGCAUAUACAAAGAGAAGCGACCUCGCGAGAGCAAGCGGACCUCAUAAAGUAUGUCGUAGUCCGGAUUGGAGUCUGCAACUCGACUCCAUGAAGUCGGAAUCGCUAGUAAUCGUAGAUCAGAAUGCUACGGUGAAUACGUUCCCGGGCCUUGUACACACCGCCCGUCACACCAUGGGAGUGGGUUGCAA